GAGUAAAACCCCCCUUCUAAAGAAAGCCUCCAUCCUGCUUCACAUUCAAGGGGCUUCUAGGCCAUUUGCACUUCGUUUACACCUCAUUAAACUGCCCACAUUAUAUGCCUGGGUCCCAGGUGACUGUGGGAAAAGAUCAAGGUUUCCUGCAACCUCACUGGGCAUUUUCAGAAUGAUCUGUACAAGCGUUGACUGAAUGAUUGAUUCCAAGUUCCCCCUUCCUAGGAUUUCAGACCUCCUCUUGACAAGUGAUGAAUGGGCCAUCUUAAUCUUGUUUGGAUCAGAAAGGACCAUACAAUUGAGCUUUAGACAAGACUAAAAAUAUCAAAAGUAGCACUCUGCAAUUUUAUGUGCAUGUGGCUUGAAGCUCUGACAACAACACAAAAGAACCUCCUUUAGACGUCCUUCACUUCCAGGAUCCAGUCCAAACUCCUGGGCUUGGCACAUGAACCCUCCAUCAUCUGGCACCUGGCAGCCCACAUGCUGGAGCCUCACGGAUUUGCUCAUCGCCCUCUGAACACCUGUGGCCUUCUCACUCCUCUGUGUCUUUGCACAUCCUUUCCCCAACCUCAUGCCAGGCCAUUGCAUUGUGAUCCAGGCUCAGUCUUCGUUCUGCUUCGUGGCAUCACAGUCCCUUAUUUGAAACUGAACCAGGACUGCAGUCUUCGACUUUGACAUCAAAUUUGACACCUCAGUGGCCCAAGCUACCUACUGAAAUAUUUACAAGUGAAAUGAUGUGAGAUGUGGGAUUUGAUUCAAAAUGAUCCUUUAUGUAUGAAGAGUGGGGCGUGGAGAAUGCAUGAAGAUACAGAUAAAAUAAACGUGUCUAUGGGUUAAUACAUGCUGUAGCUGGGUACAUGGUGGUUUAUUAUGCUAUUCUUUCUAGUUUUGUGUGCAUCUGAAAUUUUCCAUAAUAAAUACUUUUUAGAAAA
RNAcentral lists this long non-coding RNA (932 nucleotides) under Homo sapiens (human). Its description in RNAcentral is "long intergenic non-protein coding RNA 1509". The record is from RNAcentral. Lineage: Eukaryota; Metazoa; Chordata; Mammalia; Primates; Hominidae.